GACGAACGCUGGCGGCGUGCUUAACACAUGCAAGUCGAACGGAAAGGCCCUGCUUUUGUGGGGUGCUCGAGUGGCGAACGGGUGAGUAACACGUGAGUAACCUGCCCUUGACUUUGGGAUAACUCCAGGAAACUGGGGCUAAUACCGGAUAGGAGCUCUCGCCGCAUGGGGGGGGUUGGAAAGUUUGGCGGUGGGGGAUGGGCCCGCGGCCUAUCAGCUUGUUGGUGGGGUAAUGGCCUACCAAGGCGUUGACGGGUAGCCGGCCUGAGAGGGUGACCGGCCACAUUGGGACUGAGAUACGGCCCAGACUCCUACGGGAGGCAGCAGUGGGGAAUAUUGCACAAUGGGCGGAAGCCUGAUGCAGCAACGCCGCGUGCGGGAUGACGGCCUUCGGGUUGUAAACCGCUUUCGCCUGUGACGAAGCGUGAGUGACGGUAAUGGGUAAAGAAGCACCGGCUAACUACGUG
RNAcentral lists this ribosomal RNA (467 nucleotides) under uncultured bacterium. RNAcentral's name for it is "partial 16S ribosomal RNA". It matches the Rfam family "Bacterial small subunit ribosomal RNA", at positions 28 to 507 of the family's 1533-position model. The record is from RNAcentral.